UGCUAUGUCAGCUGCCUCACUGCAGUAACCACACACCCUGGAGCUUCCGGGCUUUCCAAAUAUCCUGCCAUACAGCCCUGCAAACCAUCAAAACAUCCUAGGGACUCCAGGUCUCAGCGUCCAAGUCUCCUCCAUGGCUGGUCUCCACCCUUGAACUCCUCACUUGGGAUGGCUCAUGGUUUGGUCACCUAACCACCCCCCACAAUCCCCUCCCUGCAGCCUGCCCCAAUCCCCAGGAGACCUGGCAAGCCCAGAACCUCCUGGGCCAGGCCUGUCCUUGGGUCUAGGCCCCAAAGGCCUCAGAUCCCGUCCUCUCCCACCGUCUGGCCCUCACCGUCUUGGACCAUAGCUGCCCAACUCCCCACUGGCCCGGAGCCAUGGCCCACCUCUGCCCCAAAGGCAAACACUGUGGCACCACCAGCCAGCUCAGGGCCAUGUGCAGGGGGCUCUCUGAGAUGAUGGUUGGAUGAAUGCAGAGGGCAGGGCGAGGGCAGCCGCAGGGUGGGUGGCCUGGGCAGCAAGGCAUGGCAGUGAGUACUCUGGGCCUGGACAAGGGCUGCCAAGGAGCCAGCCACUGGUAAAGGCAGAUUGGGGCAAAUCCCUGGAGGCCCUGAAUGCCAUCCUGAGGGUCACUGACUCCAUCCUAGGGGCAGGGGGCAGACAGCUGAUAGGCAUAGGAGCUGCUGGGUUCUCUCGAGAGACAGAGGAGGCCCUAGGCUGUCUUCCUGACCUCACAAUGGAGCAUGACAGUGGCUGUGAGGGAGAGGAGGAAGCCAGCCUUCCCUAAGCACCUCCUGGGCCCUUCAUCCCAACAUCUCAUUUGUUUUCCUCACCCCACCCCCAAAGUCGGGGCUUAUCAGCCCCUUUGUGCACAAGAAGUGGAGGCCCAGAGGAAAUGGAGCCCAAGGCCACAGCUGGUGAGGGGAUCCUAGCUCACAGUCCUGGGUGCCACACGGCCGGGAAUUCUCGGGCCAGGCCUCGUGGCCACAGUGGUCACUGUCUUCCUCGGGCAGCCCUGUCUGGGUGUUGACACACUUCACCAGGCGCCGCUGGACGCCACCACCGCAUGGGGCUGAGCACUGUGGAGUGCAGAAGGGAUGAGAAAACAGAGGCCUGGACAGGUGAAGCAGGCUGCCCAGAGUCACUCAGCUGCCAGUGGGACAAAGACAGGUUCUCAAACCUCUGAGCUCCAAACAGGCCAGGCAGGCAGGCGUCCUUCCCACCCUGAGGCCUCGCUGGCCACUCUCCCACCCCUUCUGCCACUCUGACCUUUGCGGGGUUCCUGGAGCCCCCCAUGUCCGUCGUUCCUGCCCCAGCACUUCGCCCUUGCUGUUCCCCUUAAAAGCCUCCUUUGCAUCACUGCCUUCUCCAGGUCCCAGCUCUAAACUCCCCUUUUCACGCCUUCCCUGACAUCACAACACAUCCAUUUUUUG
Molecule: non-coding RNA, 1433 nt
Organism: Equus caballus (horse)
Lineage: Eukaryota; Metazoa; Chordata; Mammalia; Perissodactyla; Equidae
Source: RefSeq, a predicted model, not a curated record